GACGAACGCUGGCGGCGUGCCUAAUACAUGCAAGUAGAACGCUGAAGGAGGAGCUUGCUUCUCCGGAUGAGUUGCGAACGGGUGAGUAACGCGUAGGUAACCUGCCUGGUAGCGGGGGAUAACUAUUGGAAACGAUAGCUAAUACCGCAUAAUAGCAGUUGUUGCAUGACAACUGUUUGAAAGGUGCAAUUGCACCACUACCAGAUGGACCUGCGUUGUAUUAGCUAGUUGGUGGGGUAACGGCUCACCAAGGCGACGAUACAUAGCCGACCUGAGAGGGUGGUCGGCCACACUGGGACUGAGACACGGCCCAGACUCCUACGGGAGGCAGCAGUAGGGAAUCUUCGGGAAUGGACGGAAGACUGACCGAGCAACGCCGCGGGAGUGAAGAAGGUUUUCGGAUCGUAGAGGUCGGUUGUAAGAGAAGAACGAGUGUGAGAGUGGAAAGUUCACACUGUGACGGUAUCUUACCAGAAAGGGACGGCUAACUACGUG
Molecule: ribosomal RNA, 495 nt
Filed under: uncultured bacterium
Lineage: Bacteria
Description: partial 16S ribosomal RNA
Rfam family: Bacterial small subunit ribosomal RNA
Source: RNAcentral